RNAcentral lists this ribosomal RNA (17 nucleotides) under Pseudo-nitzschia cf. turgidula. RNAcentral's name for it is "partial 5.8S ribosomal RNA". The record is from RNAcentral. Lineage: Eukaryota; Bacillariophyta; Bacillariophyceae; Bacillariales; Bacillariaceae.
AAUGACUUACAACUUUC